This 73-nucleotide transfer RNA is filed under the name Lepisosteus oculatus (spotted gar). It matches the Rfam family "tRNA". From Rfam's summary of the family: Transfer RNA (tRNA) molecules are approximately 80 nucleotides in length. Their secondary structure includes four short double-helical elements and three loops (D, anti-codon, and T loops). The record is from Rfam by way of RNAcentral. Lineage: Eukaryota; Metazoa; Chordata; Actinopteri; Semionotiformes; Lepisosteidae.
GCCGUGGCAGCUCAGAGGGCAAGGGCGUCCAGCUCCUGACUGGAAGGUCCCGGGUUCAAUCCCGGUAGGGGCG